RNAcentral lists this small RNA (28 nucleotides) under Bombyx mori (domestic silkworm). RNAcentral's name for it is "ovarian small RNA-2126". Lineage: Eukaryota; Metazoa; Arthropoda; Insecta; Lepidoptera; Bombycidae. The record is from RNAcentral.
UGAAAAGAAUGCCAACGGUUGCCACGAA